Long non-coding RNA from Pipistrellus kuhlii (Kuhl's pipistrelle), 154 nucleotides. RefSeq lists it as uncharacterized. The record is from RefSeq and is a predicted model, not a curated record. The transcript has 3 exons. NCBI's taxonomy places the organism in Eukaryota, Metazoa, Chordata, Mammalia, Chiroptera, Vespertilionidae.
CAGCUGGUACUGGCUAUAGUCCCCCAAAGGGGUGCAGUCCAGGGUCACCGUCUCCCCCCGCAUCACCUCCACCAGCGGGGCCACGGACACCUGCAUCGCCGCCUGGACACCUGCAGGACCGCCACAGGCUCUGGCCACUGCCACCCAUGGGAGA